Molecule: long non-coding RNA, 6080 nt
Filed under: Sus scrofa (pig)
Lineage: Eukaryota; Metazoa; Chordata; Mammalia; Artiodactyla; Suidae
Description: lncRNA (ENSSSCG00000054054.1)
Source: RNAcentral
AGGCAAGGGUUAGAGUGAAAGUGAUUUGUUUGGGAGGUGAGUCCAGGAAGCAAAGCUGAGGGUGUGGGGAAGUGAGACAAAGGAAGAUAGGAAAACUGUGGGUUAUCACCAUGGGCAACUGGUGCUUAGUAUCCCUGGGGGCCUCUAGGAAAAACAAUGUGGACUAUGACUCAGAAUUUUCCUAUUUAAGGCCAGGAGAACUGGGACGCUCAUACGUCGACUCCCUAAGCCCCGCGAAGGCAUUGAGUUCCCAGCAGGCGUCUUGGGUCAGAUAGAACCACCAGGGAGCGCUGUGCAGCAAGGCAUACCAGGGAGCCAUCUCCGGUCACCUCCAGGGUAGACAGAAGGGCCAAGAACACAGCGCAGGUGACAACUACUACAGCAGAACUCUGCUACUCUCAGGUGACCACUGGAUAUUGGGGGGUGGGGUUUUGCGAAAAUACAGAGUCUGUUUUGCGGGUCUGGAAUGGGACCCGAGAUUCUACAUCUCUAACAAGUUUCUCCAUGAUGCUGAGGUAGCUCAGACAUGGGCCAGUCUUUGAGUAGAAAGAGGUACAUGGAUUCAGUUCAGUUCAACAUGUGUUUGUUGGAGCUCAGGACCCUGCUGAGCUGGGUCCUGGCUCUAUCCCAGGCUUGCCUUUGAGACUGGAGAGAUCUGAGCAGAGGGGUCAGGUGCUGCAUCCGUUUUACAGAUGAUCUAGGGGUUUAUCCUGCUUCACUUGUCCAGGGUUGGAAGUGCUCACUACGCAUUUGCUGUAAGAAACAGAAGAAGAAGGUAGAAUUCCUGAACUGUUUUUGUCUCUCAGACCGAAUUUCAGCCUAUAAAAACAGUAAAACCAUCAGCUCCCACUUACCUCUAGAUAGGCUCCCAAUGUCUUGGUAGCAGCCCCUCUGGAACCAUGGGAGAGUUUUCAUAAAGCCAUUGCUCACUUUAAUAUUUUAGAAUUACAAAAAAAAGCUAGAGUUGUAAUAAAAAUAGCAACAUUUUUGCAGUACUUCACAGCUUACAAAGUGCUUUCCACCACAUUAUCUCAUUAUGUCCCUUGCUGGCUUGAGAGAAAUCAUCUACAAAUGGCAUUUAAAAAUAAAUGUGUGGCACAUUAGGGCAGGUACAUUACACAGCUGGGCACAUGAUAUUCUAGAUCCAAGAUGAUGAAAAAUAACCAUGAAGAAGGCUUCAUAUAAACAUAUACUGUGUCCUGGGGCAACCGAUAAAGUCUGCAUUUGCUGGGAAAAAGCAGUUCAGACUCGUCGGUUUCUUACUUUUAAACUUUCCCCAAGGGUCUUGGGAACGCCUUUGCUCUCUGUGCAGAUCGUCUAGUUUGACCACUUGGUUUUUCAUCCUGUUGAGACAUGUUGGGCCAUCUGUACACCCACACUCAGGUCAAGCACCAAUAGUGUGGUCAUACACAGUCAACACAGCCCCGGAUAUGCACUUUUACUGGACGGACAGUGAAUGGGUUCAGCCAGUCAGUUAAGAAAAUGAAAAUGAGUUGGCAAAGACUUUUUUGAGACAUUGUAAGACUGCAACUGCUCAUCUCAGAUUGGGACUCGAACCCACUGUCUUGUAAGUGACAUCACACACCUGGUGUCAGGACAUACUGAAGCUCAGGUUCCUUAUGUCUCUCAGUGCAGAAGGAAUUCAGAGAGAGGCAAAGUGAUAGGUAAGAAGGAGAUUUAUUGAGCGAGAUACACACUCCUUAGAGUAUGGGCCAUCUCAGAAGGCGAAAGCACCCCGCAAAUAUUGGGUGGCUAGUUUUUAUGGUCUGGGUAAUUUCAUAGGCUAACAAGUGGAUGGUUUAUUCCAACAAUUUUGGGGAAGAGGUGGGAAUUUCCAGGAACUGGGCCACCACCCACUUUAUGCCUUUCAUGGUUGGUUUCAGAACUGUCAUGAUGCCUGUGGGUGUGUCAUUUAGCUAAUGUAUUACAAUGAACAUAUAAUGAGGCCCCCAAUCCACUGGAAAUCAAAUCUUCUGCCAUCUGGUACCUAGCUGGUUCUAACCAGUUUAUGCUGUAUCCUCAAGGGAUAUGUCCUUCUUUUAAAGGUUAUACCAUGCCCCCUUCCCUCUCAUUUCAGAAUGACCUGGCUGUGAUGACCUUUGCAAUGAUUUAGCUUCAUAUACCCAUGAACUCUAAUUACAUCUAUCAAAUAUUAUUAUAGAGUUUAUGAAUUAUAUUGAAUUUAUUUGUCUUUUUUUUUUUUAGGGUCACAGCUGUGGCAAAUGGAAGUUCCCAGGCUAGGGGUCAAAUCCGAGCUGUAGUUCCUGGCCUAUACCAUAGCCACACUAACGUGGGAUCUGAGCCACAACUGUGACCUACACCACAGCUCACAACAAUGCUGGAUCCUUAACCCACUGAGCAAGGCCAGGGAUUAAACCUGAGUCCUCGUGGAUACUAGCCCGCUGAGCCAUGAUAGGAACUCCAAAUUAUAUCUAAUUUUAUAAUUACACCGAAAUAAAAGUGAAGAUUCUAUUUAUAAUAUUAUCCGAUGAUUUCAUUUAUAAUAACUUCAAUAACCUUGAAAUACUUGAAUGAACGGAAGUAAAUCAAUGUCAUUCAUGCAUAUUUUAUCAGGAUGGUGUUUUGCUUUGUGGAAUGAAAUAUUUAAUCAAACCUCGAAACAAGAGUUUAUUGUUUACAUAACCAAAAUCUUGAAAUAAUAGUUUUGAGUUGCUAAUUUAGCAUCACAGUUGAUGUGAAGGGUCUGGGUCAGUUUCUCUGAUUCUUUUCAUUUUCAUUUCAUGGUCACAGAAUGGCUGCCACAGCUCUAAGCAUCAUGUCCUCACACAGCUCCUCAAACAGGAAGGAGAGUGCUUUUUUUUAUAGUUUUUUUUUUUUUAAUAAUGGAGAAAAAUUAUUCUGAGGCAUCCCUAUUAAGUUCCCUUUAGGCCCUUUUGACCAGCAGUGGGUCAUAUGCCCACUUGCGUAACAAUCACUGGUAAAAGAAAUUGGAUUAGCAUGACCGACUUGACUAAUUAUGCUUAAUCUUCUAGGACCGGGGUGGGGUCCAGACGUCCUUGAGCACAUUGCUUCCUCAAAUCUCAACAAAAUACUCAACAAAAUACUCAUCAGUUGUAAGGAAAAGAGAGAAAUGGCUUUUAGGGAGGGACACGAGAUGUUUGAUGUACAUGUUUUCUAUUGUUUCUUUAGAGGUGGUUUGGUUGCCUAUUAAUUGAAAUGUAGACACAUUCAGGGAUUAAAAUCAAAGACUAAGAUUGAAAACAUGGCCUCUUACUGAAUUUUACCAAGUAUAAAAAUAUUUUGUGGGACAAGCGGUGUCUCUUGCUAGUUUGGGUUCCUUUUGGAAUGGAAACCUUCCUGUCCAAAGCUCGGCCCCCACAUGGUGGUGUGUGUCCGCACCAUACUCAUGCCUGGGGUCUUCAGAGGGGCGGAGGAGAAAUGGCAAGAGAGCUAAAGUCCCUGGAGGAGCUUCUAGGAGGGAAUUUUCAGGGGAAUUUGGAGAUCAAGGAGAGCAGGGCUGUGAGGAGGGAAGUAGAUAUGAGGGGAAGAAGAUUUGAACAUGUGUUACUAUGAGCAGGGAGCCACUCUUCAUAUGUUCGAAAGACACAGCUAAGAUGGUGGCCUAACCUAGUAUUGAUGUCUGGUAGCCAGUGCUGGUGUGUCUUUUCAACAUUGCUCUGACUAUUGUGGCUUCAGUAGGGGAUAAUCUCAUCACGGAUAGUAAGGGGUAGGCAUAGUAUUUUCCCCAUGGACUCCCACCCCAACUGAAAAGCCAAUCUAGAUCUGUGGGGAGGUUUCAUGGAAAUUAUAGGAUGUUGGUACCUCCAUGCCCCAGGUCACUCACGUUCCAAGAUGGCAGUUCAAGCUUAGCCACUACCUCCACAUUCCAGCACACAGGAAGGAAGAAAAGUGAAGAGGGAAGGAGGUCAAGGCAGUGCCAGCUGGUUUCUUAAGGAUGAUUCUCAAGAUACAUGCCUCAUAAAACACAUGCACACAUUAAUCAGAAUUUAGUCACAUAGUCCAUCUAGCUAUUUGGGAGUUUGGAAAUGUAUUUAUUUGUUUGUAUGGCUGCACCUGCAGCAUAUGAAAGCUCCUGGGCUAGGAGUUGAAUUGGAGCUGGAGCUGGGGCCUAGGCCUCAGCCACAGCAGUGGGGGAUCCUUAACCCACUGAGCAAGGCCAAGGAUCAAACCUGCAUCCUCACAAAGACAACAUCAGUCCUUAACCUGCUGAGCCACAGCAGGAACUCCUGGAAAUUUAUUUUUCAUUUUUUUUUUUUUUUUUUUACUUUUGGCUGUACUGUGGCAUGUGGAAGUCCAGGGCCAAGGCUAGAACCUGCACUACAGUCGUGAUGAUCCCAAAUCCUUAACCUACUUGCACCACUGGGGAAUUCUAUGGAGUCUUUAUUUUGAUUGGCCAUGCACUUAGCUAAAGAUUCUAUGACUAUGGAAGAAAGGAAGAGUGGAUAUUGGGAGAACAAGAAAAAGGAGCCUCUUUGAGACCCUACCCCUCUCUAGAAUGGGAGAUAGACCAGCAUUUUUGUGUCCAUUUGCUUUUGUUAUUUAUUUAGCACAAAAUCCCCUUUUCCCCAUUGCAUCUCAUAUAUCUUCCUAACUCCUUUGUUGUCUACUGAUUUUUUUCUCAGCUUAAAUGAGGAAUUAAUUUUAAAUUCAAUAUCACUUCCUUAAAGGCGUUUUCUUGGACUCUACCAAUUAGAACUAACUUCUGUGUUCCCUAGUCCUUUUUCUCCUGCUUUCAUUAUAGCAAAGUGUUCAUCCUGUUUCCCAUUAUCCAUUUUUUCCUUUAGAUUGUAACUUUCUGAGGGCUGGAUGCUGGAUUUGGUCAUCAUCAAUUCCAUAAGUGCCUACAUGAAAGAGAAGUAAACUCAUGUCUUGUUUAAGCCAAGGUCAUUUUGUACUUUUCAUCACUCACAGCCAAGUAUAACCCUAACUAAUGUAAGACCCUUUCCCCUUCUCUUUACAGAGUUAGACACCACUCAAUGAUUAUACAGAUACCAUGCAAAAAGGGUUGGAACAUUACAAGAAGUUAAUGAAUGGAAGAAGGUUGGGAAAUAGUCUUGGAUUGGUGCUGUGUUAGUUUUUAAUGUUAGAGUUUGUAGGGUGUGGAGGAAGGAGGAAGGCUUUGUUAUCUGACUCUCUCAUUUAAAAUCUUGGUUGAGUGACUUAUAUAGGUGUGACCUCGGGUAAAGAAAUUAUGCUCCCUAUGCCAGAGUUUCCAGAUCUGUAAAAUGGAAAUGAAAGUGCUAACGUUGCAGAGUUGUUUUGAGAAUUAGGUAAAACGUCUGCAAAGAGCCUGGCACUUAGAGGAUGCUUGUUCCUGAACAUUAUUAUAAUCAUCAUACUGCAGAUUGGGCAUGAUUAAGGGAAAAGCUCUCUGAUGCGUAUCCGAGAGCCACGAAGCUGAUUACACAUGGGCCAGGGGUUCUUGGAAAGAAUUUGCUACAGAAGGCAAGAAAGGUUAUUACUGGUAACAGAAACGGAGAGCAUAUCAUUUAUACCCCUGUAAUUGAGAUGAAAUUUGGCAUAUUGACAUCAACAAUAUUCCCCCAACAUCCAUUUUAAAAGUUUCCAGAUGAAAAACUUUGACCCAAAGUACAAGCAUUCACUGAUGCUCUUAAUAGUUAUAGCAACAUGUAGGGAAAUAGUAAAAAUGAUGAAAGUGGCAAUUCCAUUGAAAUGCGGGCUGAAGCAUACCUAUUAAGUUGAAUCCAUAGUUAAAACAGCCUGGGCUUUUCAUAGUUCUCUAAGGAGGAGCAGUUAACCCCCAGAUUUUGUCUUUAUUGACAAUAAUAUAAAGUUGUGCAUAUCACAGACCAAAAGCAAUCAGUGACACAGCUGUCAGAAUAUCAAGGUCAGAAAAAAAAGAGUAGAUGCUGUAAUUUUAAGGAAAAUUGGAGAAAUUUAUGUGAAGACUUGAUUAAAAAAUAUCUUGUGUUGGGAUUCCCAUUGUGGCUUAGUGGAAACAAGGCCAACCAAGAUCCAUGAGGAGGCGGGUUCGAUCCCUGGCCUUGCUCAGUGUGUUAAGGAUCCGGUGUUGCCGUGAGCUGUGGUGUAGGUCUCAGAUGUGGCUCAGAUCCUGUGUUGCUGUGGUGUAGGCCAGC